GCCCCGAAGGGAAAGUGGCUGCAAAAAAAUCACUGCAGAUGUCUGGAUAUGAGACUUGCCAAGGUCUUAAAAAAGAAGAGGUAGACAGAUGGUACUCAUGCCUUGAUGGACAACGGCAGAAAGCCAAGUUUUCAGCUUCCAAAAUAGCAAGGAGUUCUGGAAAGAAAUAUAGGAUGCUGAUAUAAAAAAGCAAUAUGUCAUCUGGAUACAUAGAUAUCUUUAAGGGAUAUAAUCCAAUAA
This is a long non-coding RNA of Lacerta agilis (Sand lizard), 240 nucleotides long. RefSeq lists it as uncharacterized. The record is from RefSeq and is a predicted model, not a curated record. NCBI's taxonomy places the organism in Eukaryota, Metazoa, Chordata, Lepidosauria, Squamata, Lacertidae. The transcript is spliced from 3 exons.